UCCGAAAUUGUCUAGUGGCUAGGAUGUAAGCAGCCUCACCACAUCUCAUUCAUCAAUCACGAUCUAACAAUCAUGCAGUUAUCGCUCUCACCUCCUCACCAGGAAAAGUGCCGAUAAGGCCGGGGUUCGAUUCCCCGUUUCGGAA
Non-coding RNA from Teratosphaeriaceae sp. CCFEE 6253, 145 nucleotides. The record is from the annotation of a GenBank genome assembly. Lineage: Eukaryota; Fungi; Ascomycota; Dothideomycetes; Mycosphaerellales; Teratosphaeriaceae.